UAAAAAAAAAAUUAGUAUAAUUUCUUAAUUAAUAAAAAUAAUUUUUAAUAAAAUAUUUAUGGGGGUUUAAGUAUUUUUUAAAGAAAAAAUUUUUUAAUUUAUAGUGAAAUAGUAUUGUGAAAGAAUUUUGAAAUAUUUGAAAAUAAAUUUUUAUUUAAGUAAAUUUUAUUUAUUGUAUCUUGUGUAUCAGAGUUUAUUAAAGAAAAUAUUUUAGUUGAAAAUUUUCUCGAAUUUAAAAGAGUUAAUUAAUUAAUAAAUUUACUGUAACAAAAGUAUUUUUCAUAGUUAAUUAGAAAUGAAAUGUUAAUCGUUUUUAAAUAUAUCUAGUUUUUUUAGAAAAAAAUUUAAUUUUAAAUUUAUUUAAUAAAAAUAUUAAUUAAAAAAUAUUUUUAAAAUAGAAUUUAAUAUGUUAAGGGAUAAGCUUUAAUUUAUAAUAUUAUAAUAAUAUAUUUAUUUAAUUUGAAAAUUUUAAAAUUUAUAUUGUUUUUAAAUUAUAAUUUUUUAUAAAUAAUUUCAUUAAAAAUAAAAUUUAAUUAAAAUUUAAUUUUUUAUAAAAAAAAUAAAAUUUAAUAGUAAAUUUUUAAUUAUAAUGAUAAAAUUAGUAUAAUAAAUAAUGUUUUUAUGUAAAAAAAAAUAAAAUUAAUAAUAUAAUUUUAUUAAUUAUUUUAAAUUAAUUAUAAGGAAUUCGGCAAAAUUUUAUAUUCACUUGUUUAACAAAAACAUGUCUUUUUGUUUAAUAAUUAAAAGUCUAAUCUGCCCACUGAUAAGAUAUUAAAGGGCUGCAGUAUUUUGACUGUACAAAGGUAGCAUAAUCAUUAGUCUCUUAAUUGGUGACUUGUAUGAAAGAUUGGAUGAGAUAUAUACUGUCUUAUUUUUAUUAGUAGAAUUUAAUUUUUUAGUUAAAAAGCUAAAAUAAAUUUAAAAGACGAGAAGACCCUAUAGAGUUUUAUAUAAAAUAAUAAUUAAAAAUUUUUUUAUUAAUUUUAAAUUGAAAUUAAAUUUUAUAUUUUGUUGGGGUGAUAAAAAAAUAAAAUAAACUUUUUUUAAUUAAUAUAUAUAUAUAUAUAUAUAUAUAUAUAUAUAUAUAUAUAUAUAUAUAUAUAUAUAUAUAUAUAAUUUUACAUAUAUAAAUGAAUAUUUGAUCCAUAAUUUGUGAUUAAAAGAUUAAAUUACCUUAGGGAUAACAGCGUAAUUUUUUUUUUUAGUUCAUAUAAAAAAAAAAGUUUGCGACCUCGAUGUUGGAUUAAGAUAAAAUUUAAAUGCAAAAGUUUAAAAUUUUGAUCUGUUCGAUCAUUAAAAUCUUACAUGAUCUGAGUUCAAACCGGUGUGAGCCAGGUUGGUUUCUAUCUUUAGAUAAAUGAAAUAUUUUAGUACGAAAGGAUCAAAUAUUUAAAAUAAUUUUAUAAUAAUGAAUAUUAAUAAAUUAAUAAUAAUAUAUAUAUAUAUAUAUAUAUAUAUAUAUAUAUAUAUAUAUAUAUAUAUAUAUAUAUUAUUAAAAAUAAAUUAAAUUAUAU
RNAcentral lists this ribosomal RNA (1514 nucleotides) under Choristoneura longicellana (common apple leafroller). RNAcentral's name for it is "16S ribosomal RNA". The record is from RNAcentral. Lineage: Eukaryota; Metazoa; Arthropoda; Insecta; Lepidoptera; Tortricidae.